RNAcentral lists this ribosomal RNA (440 nucleotides) under uncultured bacterium. Its description in RNAcentral is "partial 16S ribosomal RNA". It matches the Rfam family "Bacterial small subunit ribosomal RNA", at positions 338 to 795 of the family's 1533-position model. The record is from RNAcentral.
CCUACGGGAGGCAGCAGUAGGGAAUAUUGCUCAAUGGGGGAAACCCUGAAGCAGCAACGCCGCGUGGAGGAUGAAGGUUUUCGGAUUUUAAACUCCUUUUGUUAGAGAAGAUAAUGACGGUAUCUAACGAAUAAGCACCAGCUAACUCCGUGCCAGCAGCCGCGGUAAUACGGAGGGUGCAAGCGUUACUCGGAAUCAUUGGGCGUAAAGAGCGCGUAGGCGGGAUAGCAAGUCAGAUGUGAAAUCGUAUGGCUUAACCAUAGAACGGCAUUUGAAACUGUUAUUCGAGAGUAUGGGAGAGGUAGGUGGAAUGCUUGGUGUAGGGGUGAAAUCCGUAGAGAUCAAGAGGAAUACUCAUUGCGAAGGCGACCUGCUAGAACAUAACUGACGCUGAUGCACGAAAGCGUGGGGAGCAAACAGGAUUAGAUACCCCAGUAGUC